Molecule: long non-coding RNA, 2928 nt
Organism: Leopardus geoffroyi (Geoffroy's cat)
Lineage: Eukaryota; Metazoa; Chordata; Mammalia; Carnivora; Felidae
Exons: 4
Source: RefSeq, a predicted model, not a curated record
UAGAUGUGCAGAGAGACAACUGUGAACAACAUCGCUCUACUUCCCACACUGCUGGAUUUCUCUGGGGCUUUAAUAUGCUAAUGAGCAUCAAACAGCCAGAUCCUUCUUCUGCUGAGCACAAAUUAUGCUCUCUGCGUUGAAUAGUUUUGGAAAAUGCAUAAAGUGCACUUUUCUAUGAGGUGUGGAGCGAUAAAUCAUUCAGUAACACAUCCUGCCAUCCUGGGUGUAAUUGGUGACCCUGUUGUAAGACCAGAUUACAUUGUGCCGAAGACAAUAUGAAUGUGACCGAGUGGGUAAACGACAGCAUGUUAGAUUACUGGACACUUGUCAGUAGUUCGUGCACAAUUCAGUCUUUCUCUGUGUUGCAUCUGAACGCCUCUCACCCAGGCUUUAUUCCGUGUCACUGGACUGCAGUAUAGACGACCUGGCUUAGCAGCAUGUGCCAUGGACAGAGCAUACAUAUUGGCUCCAUUCGUGGAAACCUCCAAGAGCUGAGCCUAUUUUUUAUUCAUUAUGCUACGGGCUGUUGCAGAGACCCAGCAAGAGGUGGCACGGAGGGACAGGCAGUGGCAGUCUCGGGGACUUGAGAUUUCAUCCUCAAGGUAGUAGGAAGCCUUCGGAGACUCUUAACCAGUGGCAUGUGAUGAUCAGGGUGGACAACCGUGGCCUGCAGUUCCCGGACAGCCUAAUGUGGGAGCAAUGCGCCACAGAGCUCAGUUUGAAUCCCGGCUGUCAACGACUUAGAGCUAUGGCCCUGUGCCAUUCCCGCAGCCCACCGUGUCCAGCUGCAGACCACCCUCCUCACGCAUCAACACAAGGUCAAUGGUAGCCUAAGACGGCGUCCCAAAGCUAUGUCAUUCCCGUGCCUUCAUCUCGUCACGUGCGCGUUUUAUCAUCUCACGUCACCACAAGAAGCGUACGUACCGUCACAUAGGUAUGUCCGUCUAGGAAACAACGCGGUGUAUGUAGGGGUCGGCACUAUCUGUGGUUUCAGGUGGCAUUGGGGGGCUUGCAGCGCGGGCCCCACUCAUAAGCGAGGGGCUACUGUAUCGACGUGAGGAAUCACAAGGAAGCACCAAAUCCAGGGCCUGUAUUUGAGUCUCAGCUCCAUUGCUGACUGGCUGUGUGAUCCCAGGUAACUCAUACAACCUCUUGAGCCUCAGUUUUCCUCAUCCAUAAAAUGGGAACGCUACUGAUAAUAGGCGCUUCAGGAGACUGUGGUGAACUAAGGUACGUGAGCUUGUUUUUUAAGCUAGAAAGCCUCACCAGUGGUUCCCUGGGAUCAUUUUUCCCCCCAGACUGAAACAGCCUGGUUCUAAAAACCAGGUAACAUUAAGAGAGCCUCUGACUCCGGCCUCACUUGCUUGGCUGGAGUUCAGCUCACUUAAAUUCCUCCCCGGCGGUUCUGAAAUCGCUGGGCCAGAGGUACCGGCAGAGAGUCUGUUUUGCUCUGAGCAAGGAACUCCAAGCCUUUUCUGGGGACAUGGCCCUUUAUGCACAGGCUCUCCCAUUUUCACCCACUUGACCCCACUACCUUUUCUACACCUGGUGGGACUAGGGGUGGACUCUGCUCCCAGGGUAUCUGACGGGCCAACAGCUCCCCAAGCCUCCCCAGGCAUCCACGUGCCGGAGACCCUGCCCCUCUCCUGUGUCGAAGUUUGGACUCCGGGCACAAGAUGGGAGAGGGAGGCUUGGGAGCAGAGUGAGGGUAGCUGAUGGCACACCUCACCCCUGCCGGGGGCAGAGGUGCCCGGUGCCUGGGAGAAGCUAUUCUGCCUCCUGCUGUUCUCCAGCUGUGUUCAGUUCCCCUUCUUUCCGGCCUUCCCUGUAAACCCCCACUGGUUAGGGCAACCCGAAGUGUCGCUGUGUCUCUCAGCUUAGAGGAGCCUGAUUGCCAUGGGAGGAUCUCAAGGUCCCCCCAGAGGGAGUGGAGUUUGCUCAGAGUAAAGUGCAUCAGCUACUCUAUUCGGAAAAUGGAAACACCCGUUAAGUCUACUGACCAGGGACUGGUAAACAGGACCUUGGCAUCUCACCACAGUGAGAUCCUACAGCUGGAAAAUAGCACAAGGAGGCCCGUUAGGUACUGAUACGGGGUGCUUGCUCCACAGGACAUUUUCCUCUGCAAAAAAGUGUGAGAUUCAGAACAGUGUGUGUAAUCUGCUGUCACUUGUGCAGCAGAUCAAAGACUAAAAUAUCUCUGGAAUAUCACACAUAAUCUAACGGCACUAGCUGUCCGUGAGGAACGGAGCCGGGUGGCGGUGGUGAGGGAAGGAAUUUUCACUGAACAUCCUGCAGUGACUUUUCUAAAUCGAGAACACUGAAAUUUAAUCACCUGCUUAAACAGUCAAAUCAGAAAAAAAAGCUUAGAACUGUGGCUUGUGAGGUUGAGCAGUCCUGAGUUCAACUUUGGCUCCACGAUAUAUUGCCGUGCAUUAGCGAGCGAGUGGCUCAACCUCUCUGAACUCGGCUUUCUUAUCUGUAAAAUAAUAACAGUAAUGCCUGCCUGAUAGGACUGUCAUAAUGCUCUACCCUUGUUGACCCACAGUAGCCAUUCAACUUUGAUUGGCUAUUGUUGUCAUUGCCAAUUUCCUCACAAGGCACUUAACAUUUCCCCUUAGCUUGUCCCCUGCUCCUUAAGAUACACGAUUUCAAGGCAGUGGUAUGUUUUGUUUGCAUUCUUUGUCCUUUUUGUUGGUUCGUUUUUGUCCAAUACUUUCCCCAGGAUAAGGGCCAUGGGGGUGGGGCCAAGUAAAUUAGAAUCAGCUUCUGUUGUACUCAAAAUUAGUCCUCUAUUUGAAAUGAGCGCAUUAUUUGGACCCAGCCUAUGCCUAUCUUCCUUUGGAGUGAGUUCUCCCAGUCCCUCCUGUAGUCUCCUGACAGCCCACCAUGGAUCUUUUAAGCACUUCUAAAUGCCUGGUGAACACAGUC